RNAcentral lists this ribosomal RNA (259 nucleotides) under uncultured prokaryote. RNAcentral's name for it is "partial 16S ribosomal RNA". It matches the Rfam family "Bacterial small subunit ribosomal RNA", at positions 524 to 782 of the family's 1533-position model. The record is from RNAcentral.
UACGGAGGAUCCAAGCGUUAUCCGGAUUUAUUGGGUUUAAAGGGUGCGCAGGCGGAAGAUUAAGUCGGCGGUGAAAUUUUGCAGCUUAACUGUAACAGUGCCGUUGAUACUGGGGAGCUAGGAUUUGGUUGCUGUGGGUGGAAUGUGCGGUGUAGCGGUGAAAUGCUUAGAGAUCACACAGAAUAUCGAUUGCGAAGGCAGCUCACAAAGCCAAGAUUGACGCUGAGGCACGAAAGUGUGGGGAUCAAACAGGAUUAGA